AGUGAUGUAGUCAUUUAAAAGGAUGACUUGGAAAAACAGUAUGUUUCUUCUUUUGACAUCCUCCCAGGAAUGUCUGCAUCAGCCAACUUGCUUCAAGUGACAAAAGUCAUUACAGAUAAACACAGUGGAUUGUUUAUUUUGGAAAGGGACUGGGGCAUAACUCCUCUGAGUUCCUGACAUACCUCGGAUCCCCCCCACUGCCUGCUGAGCCUGCGCUGGAGCACUCGGAUGGCAAGCCUCUGGAAACAGGAUGCCACGGGGAUCCACGGGGAAGACAAAGCCCCUCAGAAAGGCGAGCAGCCUCGGGCCACUCUAAUUACAAGUCCCUGCACUGCUUGAAGGUACUCAGCUGACAUGCCUGAACUGUGCAAAGACCUUCAAGUGAACUAUUAUACAAAGCUCAAUGUAUCACAUGGUUGCGAAGCAGCUGCUAAGUCUCACUGUAAAUGAGGCACAGAGAUGAUAAGUCACAUACUCUCAUAUACAAUGUGUUUAAGGAAACCCCCACCCUACAGAUUUUACUGCCUUAGGGUAGGAUGAAACUUGGGAGGUGAAGGGGAGGGAGGGGGAUGUGGGAAAGAGUUUUAUGUGAAGACGUUCUAGUCUACAUUAAGGAUGUGUUUACUUCUAGUAGCUUUGGCAAGUUAAUCAUAACAUGCAUUUAAGUUCUUUCAAUAACAUCCCCCAAAGUGGAUUUUUUUUAAAUGUCACUUCCCUGUUUAAACCAGCACAGAACUGUACAUCAAGAUAAGUCUUCCACAUGAGACACAGAAAGCAGUAGUUACUAACAUUUGGCUUUUCCUCUGCUCACUUUGCUUGAAUACAUAGAAGCCUGAAAUGUGUGUUCUCAAUUCAGAUAGGAUGAGUGUAAAUGACAUGCGUUUGAUUGCAGAAAUAUGACAAGCAGAAAGACUGACAUGAUUAAGAAAAAUUCCUGCAAAACAGAAGACAACAGAUGACAUAGUCCACAGUAAUUAAUAUGCUGUUUGUGAUCAUCUUAGAAAAAAUGAUUGAAUUCUUUGGGUAAAGCCUAAUGGCUGCAGGGUAGUGCCUUAAACACACCCAUGAAGGGUUUUCCUAUAACUCAGUGACAAGCUGUGGCCAUAGUCAUUUCUGAAAUCCCAGAUGCAUAGAAAUACAUGGUUGGGUGGGACCUGCAGAAAUCAUCCAGCACUGCGCUGAGAUAGGCUGGGCCAUAGGAAUCAAUUUGAUGCCGAAAUGGGAGCCCAGACCCAUGAGAGCUAUUAAUUCAGACUCUCUGCACUGUCAGUAGGUGGCUCAUCUUUUCAAGAUUUCCCCUUCAUCCAUGACAACAAAAAGUAAAUAUAUGCCUUCCAAAGUGAAAAAAUGUUA
This 1353-nucleotide long non-coding RNA is filed under the name Anser brachyrhynchus (Pink-footed goose). RNAcentral describes it as "lncRNA (ENSABRG00000012626.1)". Lineage: Eukaryota; Metazoa; Chordata; Aves; Anseriformes; Anatidae. The record is from RNAcentral.